CGCCAUUCACAAACCCUCUGUCUGAAACCCUUAUUCUUGCCGUCCUUCUACCGUUCACAACUGUCGUUGCCAUCAUACUUGAUUUCUUCUUGCUUAGUUUCACUUUGGCCUCUAAUACGAUCUGUCUCCUUCACUUUGUUUCACUCUAUCUCCUUGGCUUUUAGAUCGGAAUGGACGUUGACUUCUCCCUCCUCCCUGCCACCACCACUGUCCGUUCCUCCUCCUCCUCCGGUGGUUGCACUGAUAUUCUUGGCCGGAGUAACACCCCUUCCUUCUCUUAUUUCAAAGACUGAAAGUUUAAUUACAGAGCCGAUCUAAAAGCCAAGGUGAGCCUUUUUCUUGUCAAUUUCGUUUGGUUUGAUUCAUACCCUUUAUGGGUUUUUGAAGAUUAAAUCUUUGA
This 400-nucleotide long non-coding RNA is filed under the name Citrus maxima (pomelo). RNAcentral's name for it is "long non-coding RNA (CMAX_LNC000863)". Lineage: Eukaryota; Viridiplantae; Streptophyta; Magnoliopsida; Sapindales; Rutaceae. The record is from RNAcentral.